CAGCCUAUUUGGUGUAGCCGUUCAACGAUUUCUUUCGUUGUCUUUCUAUUUGUAGGAUUCACUCUUCAAGUGGUGUUGAAAUUAGCAAUCUAUUUGUGUUUUGAUACAUACUGGCCAGAUCUAGCUCUUUUCGUCAUCAGCCAUAGCUAGAGCUUGAAACUCACCAUUAAUUGUGAAUCUUAGAGUAAGGAAAGGAAAAUAAGACAAAUUUAGCGGUGGUUGUAGGGGGUGUGUGUUGGGUGUUGCAGAAAAGUGAAGGAAAAGGUGAAAAGGGUGCCCAGAUCCAGUUCUUUCCGUCCUUAUCUAUUGCUAGAGCUCAAAGCUCACCAUUAAUAGUAGAAGUUCAAGUAAUGAAAGAGAAAUCAAAAUUGAAAAAUUGUAGAGACUGAAAGCUACUAAUUUGGAGAAGAAAAAGAAAUUAUAAGAGAGAAAAAGUUAUAAAAGAAAGUGGGAAAAGAUGAGACAUGAAAAUAGGAAGAAUAUUAGGA
Molecule: long non-coding RNA, 488 nt
Filed under: Capsicum annuum
Lineage: Eukaryota; Viridiplantae; Streptophyta; Magnoliopsida; Solanales; Solanaceae
Description: long non-coding RNA (CANN_LNC010541)
Source: RNAcentral